Molecule: ribosomal RNA, 309 nt
Filed under: Triticum aestivum (bread wheat)
Lineage: Eukaryota; Viridiplantae; Streptophyta; Magnoliopsida; Poales; Poaceae
Description: partial small subunit ribosomal RNA
Source: RNAcentral
AUGUACGCUGACAAUGCAGUCAUCUUUGCAAACCCAGUUCGGGAAGAGCUCGACAAGCUGUUUCAGAUCAUCACCAGUUUUGGGGAUGCUUCAGGCCUGCACCUCAACAUCAGCAAGUGCACCAUCAAGCCCAUUCGUUGUGACCACAUUAACCUUCAAGAAGUUCUGCAGGCGUUUGGUGGACAGAUCGUUGCCUUCCCAAUACGUUACUUGGGAUUACCAAUAAGCCUCGGCCGUGCCAAAAUGGUUCAUUUUCAGUUCAUCUUGGACCGCAUCCGAGCCCGGCUGGCUGGAAGCGUAAACUCAUGA